UACGUAGGGGGCAAGCGUUGUCCGGAAUCAUUGGGCGUAAAGCGCGUGUAGGCGGCUCGAUAAGUCUGCUGUGAAAGUCCAGGGCUCAACCCUGGAAUGCCGGUGGAAACUGUCGAGCUAGAGUCCGGAAGAGGCGAGUGGAAUUCCUGGUGUAGCGGUGAAAUGCGCAGAUAUCAGGAGGAACACCAGCAGCGAAGGCGGUGGUCUGGGCCGACUUGACGCUGAGGAGCGAAAGCGU
This 238-nucleotide ribosomal RNA is filed under the name uncultured bacterium. RNAcentral's name for it is "partial 16S ribosomal RNA". It matches the Rfam family "Bacterial small subunit ribosomal RNA", at positions 524 to 762 of the family's 1533-position model. The record is from RNAcentral.